CCUACGGGAGGCAGCAGUGGGGAAUUUUGGACAAUGGACGCAAGUCUGAUCCAGCCAUGCCGCGUGCGGGAAGAAGGCCUUCGGGUUGUAAACCGCUUUUGUCAGGGAAGAAAAGGUUCUGGUUAAUACCUGGGACUCAUGACGGUACCUGAAGAAUAAGCACCGGCUAACUACGUGCCAGCAGCCGCGGUAAUACGUAGGGUGCAAGCGUUAAUCGGAAUUACUGGGCGUAAAGCGUGCGCAGGCGGUUAUGCAAGACAGAGGUGAAAUCCCCGGGCUCAACCUGGGAACUGCCUUUGUGACUGCAUAGCUAGAGUACGGUAGAGGGGGAUGGAAUUCCGCGUGUAGCAGUGAAAUGCGUAGAUAUGCGGAGGAACACCGAUGGCGAAGGCAAUCCCCUGGACCUGUACUGACGCUCAUGCACGAAAGCGUGGGGAGCAAACAGGAUUAGAUACCCUGGUAGUCCACGCCCUAAACGAUGUCAACUGGUUGUUGGGAGGGUUUCUUCUCAGUAACGUAGCUAACGCGUGAAGUUGACCGCCUGGGGNGGCGGCGCGAAGGUGUAACGUUACGAAGAAGUUAGAGGNGNGNGNGNGCCGACGGCGACGACGAGGGAGGAGG
Molecule: ribosomal RNA, 621 nt
Filed under: uncultured bacterium
Lineage: Bacteria
Description: bacterial SSU rRNA
Rfam family: Bacterial small subunit ribosomal RNA (bases 1-542)
Source: RNAcentral